AGCGGUGCCGGCCGUAGUCGGCAGGAUUCGAACCUGCGCGGGGAGACCCCAAUGGAUUUCUAGUCCAUCGCCUUAACCACUCGGCCACGACUACGCAUGCUGAAGUGUGUUUUCCCGCCAUACUAGGUCUGUGUGCCCGGAUGCCGGCACUUCAGGCAGUCUCCUCAGAGCCGGGAGCUGCUGUUUAAUGUUGGAACCAGGACCAUGGUGGUUUGGAAUUUAGGUCUCAGUCGGUGGAGUGAAAUGUAUAAAACAGAGCUGAUGUAGGAAACUCGCAGGCAGCAUUGGUGUGGAUGGGAGGGUGGUACUGGGCUGCAUCUGGUUCUGGCCAGCCUUAGCUGGUUCUGGCCAGUUCCAACCAGCAUGCUGAGCUUAACGGCUGUGGCCCAGUUGUAACCAGGGUAAUUAGCAGCUUCCUAAUCGGUUCCUCCUCUGUCCUCACACACAAUACCCUCUCCUCCGGCCGCUGGCAGGAAGCUUGGUGCUUGCCCCCUCACCAGGACCAUCACAAUUUGCCUCUGAUGGAGUAGGACUCCAGACCCUCAUAGCUCGGAGCGAAGCCUCUCAGUUACACGGUGUUUUGCAAUUCUCCUGGCGUUCCUAGCAAUGAACUGUCAGGCCUGUUUGAAUUCCCUCCUACUUAAGCUUUUAUUUAUUUGUUCCAUUUUCCUCUUCACGCUUCUUGGGGCUCUUGGAUACCCUGGCUGGUGCAAUGGCAGUGCUGCUGGAGAUAUGUGGGGUUAGGGCAGCUGUGAGCUGGCCCCAGUUGAUGUGAUGGAAGAAACCAAAUAGCAUUGAUGCUGCUCCAGCUCUUUAAAGUGGUCCCUUGGUCCGAACUCGAUGUCAUGUAGGCAAAUUCAAUCCAGAAGAAGUGGAUUUUUGGGUGGAAUUUUUACAUUCAUCUCUCGCAGCUGUGGAGAGUUUAAACUAAUCACAAUUCUCCCUGGUAUGCUAUCAUCUCCGUAAUUUGAAAAAGGAUCAGGAGCCCACAGGCUUGGAAAAUGCUGAAGAAAUUCUUCUCCUGAAAUACAUCAUCACAUGUGGAAAAGACCACUUGCUGCAUCAUCGUAAAGGAGCUUAAGAAUGCUGAAAUCCAGUAUCAUUCUGGCAUUCUUUCAAAUGGCCUUAGAAAUCCGAGUACAUUCUCUUUUUACUGCAAAACAGCUUCUUUCCCUUUCCAUCAAUCCUGUGGCUGUCAAUGUGUCUGCUGUAAGGUGCCAAAAAUGUAUGGAGUGUCUAAGGGAUAACGGUGCCAAAGUUGGGGUGCCUGAAGGCCUUCUCCCAUGAACCCACUGCUACAUUUGCUCAGUUGGAAAGCAUUUGAAAGGAAAAAAAAAAAAGAAAAAAGAAGGCACAGACCUCACAGACCUUUAGAAUUCCUUAAACUACAGAGAUCGUUUCUGUGCAGAUUACUGCCUGCUGUUUAGAUCUUGUUGUUCAAAACUUGCCUGAUGCAAUCAAAGAGACUUACUGGGUCAAAUGAAUUCCAGACUAGUCACUGGAAUCACACUGAGGUGAAUCUGACAUACUGGGCCAUCAGCUAAGCUGUGGUCAGGAGGAAGGAGUGCAGGAGAAAGGAGCUGAGGUCACAUCCUGAAUUUUGCCCUCCUAGGAGAUGAGUGAACUAAUUUGUGCAAAUCAUGUCUUUUGCUGACAUUAUAUUAGUGCAAACAGAAUGGUUACUGACUACUGAGGGCUGGAAAUGUGUCUGUCCUGAAUACAGAAUGACCAUUCUGUCUGGCAAUGCUUUUUUUUUUUUUUUUUUAAGACUAUUGUGUAUCCUCAGGAGGAGAGGACUGGGAGGCUGGACGGGGUGGAAGCCAUCAUGCUUUCUAGUGCUCAAACCACUGCAGCCUUCUCAGCAGUGCUGAUAAAAAUGGCUUUUGCUGCCACAGUGAUAAGGACAAAAUAACUUCCUAGGGCAGGAUGUCAAUUUGCCUGCCCUGUUUUCUCUGGGAUCCAAACACAGCCUUAAUUGGAGUUGAGCAGAACUUUCCUCAGCUCUCUCCUCUGAAUGACAAACUCUCUAGGGCUCAGACAAUGAUGAAGCCUGACGAAGUUGUAAUUUCUUCUGUUCCUCCAAACUGCUGCCAGCCAGGAGGGAAAGGAAUGCAGGGAGGCUUUCUUGCUGUGGUGAUAACAUGGCUGCAGCCUUUUCUGCAUUGUCAUCUCUUGCCCCAGGGGAUGGGAAGGAGGUAGGAGCACAGCAGCUGUCUGUCACCAAGGUACUAUGCUACCUGUAGCAAAUGUGAAUGGGUCAAACCUCAUUUUACAACCAGUUCAACUUCUUGCUUCCAGUCACAGGAUAUUGUUCCAGUGCUGUUCCUGGUCACGUCCCAGUAUAUCAUUUUGAGUGACACUACACUUAUUUUCCAGUAGUGGUACAGUGCGUUGACAUGAGUAAAUCCAGGCCGCAUUUAGAUUCUUGGCCAUAAUUUAAUCACUAGCAAGCAUUUCUGUGGAUGAAACUAUUCUCUGUAAAGAUAUCAGAUACGGAGACGUCUUGAAAGACUGCUUGGCAGAAGAAAUAGCAAAGUGUGCAAGAUUCCUUAUGUAAUGUUACUCGCUUAUUAUGUUGAGAGACAGCCUUGGACCAGAAAGCAACUUAAGCUGGAGGCCAAUUUGGUCUUGGACUUCACUGCUGAUCCUUCCAUCAAAGAUGCCAGCUCAGAGGGGUUAGGAUGUGAGCACCCACCACCUGAUACCUGGGUUAUCCAGUUCUCUUGCAUAGGAAGACUUUCCUGAGGAGAGCAGAUUUCAGAUUGCCUCUUCUCUCUUAUCACAUGUUGAAGACACUGGCAGGAAUUGACUUCAUGGCUCUGAGGACCAGAGAAAUGUGGGGAGGAAACAGGUUUGCUCCUGCUCUGCUGCUUUAACGUGGGAUUGCAUCUGGAGAACAGACUGCCAUCUUAGAGAAGAAAGGAUGCAUUUCCAGCUUCAAGCAACUUCCAUUAGCUUUAUCAAAGUCUUCUUGUGGUUGAGUGCCACAGAAUCAGGCUACGUUAAUCUCAUCUUUUUCAUGUGAUCUUUAUGUUUGGGAGAACAUACUGGCCUUCUGGGAAAAGGACGGGUUCUGCCUGCUGGACCCAGAGGAAAUAUAUAACACCAGAAGCAGAGAAGAGAGCAAGUGCGUUCACUUGGACUACAGGCAAAUUUACCUUCUCAGUUCUUCUUCAGAUGGAUUCUGCUCUCCACCACAAGGCUCCAUCCUGAAGGCAAAGUAUUUCCUUUCACCUCUCUGUUGCUUGAUCUGUGGUAAAUAUGAGAGCUCUUGUCAGUUGCUGGGCUCCUCAAAUGAGUGGCGUCUGAGUGCUCUGCAACAUGGUCGAGCCUCUGUCAGGCAGCAGCAUGGCCAACCUAGUGUUUUCAUGGAGGAAAAUAAAGGAACCAGUUCUCUAAGCCAUGACAGCAGCAUGCUUCUGGCAUUGGAAUAGAAUGAGCUGCAUCUGUUUAAACCACCUGUGGUUCUAGCCCAUAAUUUUCAGGCUCACAGCAUCCUGUCACAGCGAAACGCUCUGAAGAUGAUUCAGAUGUACUGUCAGACCGAAUUUGGCCCAGUGACUGUAACCAAAGUCAGAAUGUUUAUUACCAGUCAAUUUGUACACAUGCCUGUGGCUCUUAUUCUUGGAAACGACCUCCCCAGCUGACUGUGAAAUGCUGCUAUUUCUGGUGCAAAAAGUACAUUUUUCCUGUGCUAGACCAACUCAUCUUGGAAGCACCAUUUAGUUAAUGUAGCUGUUUGCUGAAUGUCCUUCCCUUGUGUGCAGGAACUUCUGAUAAGUACUACAGUUUAUGGCACCUGCAUCCUUUUUAUUAUAAAUGUAGGACAGGGAAACAAAUGCAGCCUGCUGCAAGUGAGGGAAAUGCUGCUGCUGUAGCAGGAAAAAUCCCUGUUGUAUGACAGCCUUGUUCUUCUCUUGCAGAAUGAAGACAGGGAGCUGGUUUCAUGAUAUUAUUUGAAACCAGCAUGAAGAGGGCCAUAACCAGUCUGCAAUCUCCAGACAUUCUAGUGGGAGAUUUUUAAGGCUAUUUGAGCAUUUUGAGCUACAUUGUUUCCCCCUGAGCAGAAAAAUUCUUCCCUGCCAUUCUGCACCUUCUAUUGAUCAUGGUUCAGGGAUCAAAGUAAAGUGCAUUUUGUGAGAAGCAAAGGUUAAAGUCAUUCGCAAAGUUUCAGCUGGGAGUUCAGGGGCAAGCGUUUGGGCAGCAAACACAGGCUGGAGCCCUCACUGUCCUGCUGCCUGCCACCCAUGGCAGCUGUUCUGAAAUCUUGUUGCUUCUGCAGGGACUUCUUGGUGCAUAAAGAGAUAGCAUAGGCUCUCCAAAACGUGGGAGAAGUCACCAGCCUUGUCUUGGGCUCACAGACCCAUUUAUCCAUAUGGUAUUUCUCACACAUUCACAAAUGAAGUGCUUAUCCCUCACCCCUGCUUGUUCGUGGCAGGAGGACUUUGCCCCUCGGGUUUAAUUAAGCACCAAAAGUCAGGGUUGUAUUUAUUGAUAAGCCUUUCCAGGGUACCUGUCACUGCAGUAUCUGAGGCCACUCAAGCCGUGACCCUGCCACAUUCCUUGGGAGGUGGGGAAGGUUCUGAGGGGUUUACGGCUGUGUCUGGAGCUCACCCCACACUUGCUGGGCUGUGCUGGGUGCCCUGCUGGGAGCUGAUACCCUGCUCACAGGCUGGGGUGGUUAUAAUGUUGGGCUCUCUACGAUAUGAGGCACUGUACUUGGAAAAUAGUCUGGGGAGACAGUGGAAGAGGAUGAGGCAGAAGCUACUCAUCCCUUUAGCACAUGCACAGUAAUUGGUAUGGAAGCUUAUGCACCUGAAUCUACCUGGGACAGAGAAUAAAAAUGAAAACAGUGCUAUUCUUUUAUUUAUAUAUAUUUUUUUGCAAGACUACUACCAGUAUUUUAAAAAGCUUUAAUAAAAGCAAGAUCCUGAAAAUGUCACAUGAAGUUCAAAUCUCAAACUUGCACCUUUUCUGAGGUUUCCCAUUUCUGACAACAGCAAAAAAUUUGCAGCUUAGGGAAACUCCCAUGAGUGGAAAUAUUAUUUAUGGCUUCACAUUUUUUUCCUGUCACAGUACCAUACUACAUGCCUUGAAAUUAAUUGAAAAAUAAUAAUAACAAAAAAUUAGAACUUUUCACCUCUGCGCGUACCUUUUUCUUUUCCCUUACUGCUGCUGAAUAUGGAAUGGGGAAGCAGGUGUCAUAAAUCCACAAAAUAAUUAUUCCCCAUUUGCUGUAUUACAUUUUAUUUAUAUUCCCUGGCUGUUAUUUUAUGUUAAAUCUGCAACUCUUCUUGUUAGGUUUUAACUUCCACCCUAGCGAGUGAACACAUAGCACAUAACCUCUGUUGCCACAGAGAUUUCUUUUCCAAAGCUUAAUUACUCUCUGGUUAUGUUCAUGAGAGCUUUAAAUAUUUCUGAGGGGCUGUGGUAACUGUAAAUUUUUGCCACUGAUUAGAAGUAACCGGUCUAUCAGGCACAAAAUCAUCAGAUGUUUUGCCAUUAAAGGUUGACUUUCAUAUAAAAACUAUUGAGAUUUUGGCUUUUUAGGCAACCUGCCCCUUUCUGUCAGGUCCUUGGAGGCACAGUGUUCUCCUCAGAUUGGAGUGUUUGCAAGGAGUGUAGUGCUGGUCUAUGACACAGUCUGAUGUUUCUCACUACUGCAGUGAUGAGAACCUGUUCUCUGUGAUGUCCUAGCUGCCUAUAGGACUUAAAGAAGGAUGCUACCACUAGAAGAAGCAAGUAGCUGGGAGAGUUGUAUAGAAUUAAAGCAUCAUUAAGGUUGGAAAAGACCAUUAAGUUCAUCUAGUCCAACCAUUGACCAAUCCCCGCCAUGCCCACUAACCUCAGUGCCACAUCCACCCUUUUCUUGAACACCUCCAGGGACGGUGAAUCCACCACCUCCUUAGGUAACCAGUUCCAGUUCCAAUGCAUCACUACUCUUUCUGAGGUGAAAUUUUUCCUAACAUCCAACCUGAACCUCCCAUGGUGCAACUUAAGGCCAUUAC
This is a long non-coding RNA of Numida meleagris (helmeted guineafowl), 6008 nucleotides long. RefSeq lists it as uncharacterized. The transcript has 5 exons. Lineage: Eukaryota; Metazoa; Chordata; Aves; Galliformes; Numididae. The record is from RefSeq and is a predicted model, not a curated record.